GAUGAAGAACGUAGCGAAAUGCGAUAAGUAAUGUGAAUUGCAGAAUUCAGUGAAUCAUCGAAUCUUUGAACGCACAUUGCGCCCGCCAGUAUUCUGGCGGGCAUGCCUGUUCGAGCGUCAUUUCAACCCUCAAGACCCCUUCGGGGGACUUGGUGUUGGGGACCGGCACAGGGGCCUGCCUGCUUGUCUUGCAGCGCCCUCGCCGCCCCCGAAAUGAAUUGGCGGCCUCGUCGCGGCCUCCCCUGCGUAGUAGCACAACCUCGCAACGGGAACGUGACGGCGGCCACUGCCGUAAAACAACCCCAAUUUUAUUAGAGUUGACCUCGAAUCAGGUAGGAAUACCCGCUGAACUUAAGCAUUUCAAUAAGCGGAGGA
Molecule: unclassified non-coding RNA, 375 nt
Filed under: soil metagenome
Description: partial contains 5.8S ribosomal RNA, internal transcribed spacer 2, and large subunit ribosomal RNA
Rfam family: 5.8S ribosomal RNA (bases 1-120)
Source: RNAcentral